RNAcentral lists this ribosomal RNA (404 nucleotides) under uncultured bacterium. RNAcentral describes it as "bacterial SSU rRNA". It matches the Rfam family "Bacterial small subunit ribosomal RNA", at positions 355 to 776 of the family's 1533-position model. The record is from RNAcentral.
UGGGGAAUCUUGCACAAUGGGGGAAACCCUGAUGCAGCGAUGCCGCGUGAGUGAAGAAGGCCCUUGGGUUGUAAAACUCUUUCGUCGGGGAAGAAAAUGACUGUACCCGAAUAAGAAGGACCGGCUAAUUCCGUGCCAGCAGCCGCGGUAAUACGGAAGGUCCUAGCGUUGUUCGGAAUUACUGGGCGUAAAGCGCAUGUAGGCGGAACAAAAAGUUAGAAGUGAAAUCCCUGGGCUCAACCUAGGAAUUGCUUUUAAAACUUUUGUUCUGGAAUUCAGGAGAGGAAAAUGGAAUUUCCAGUGUAGAGGUGAAAUUCGUAGAUAUUGGAAGGAACACCAGUGGCGAAGGCGAUUUUCUGGACUGAUAUUGACGCUGAGAUGCGAAGGCAUGGGUAGCAAACGGG